UUAGUAAAUCGGGUGAUCGCUUUUAAGUAAGAGGAAAGUCCGAACACCGUAGAACAGCGAGCCGGAUAAUUUCCGGGCAUCUGGAUUCAGUUGACGACAAGUGCAACAGAAAGUAAACCAGCCCGAUAAGGGUGAUGGGUGAAAUGAUGAGGUAAGAGCUCAUCAGCGUUUUUGGAGACAAAGGCGGCUAGGCAAACUCCUCGUGGUGCAAGACCAAAUAGGGAAACGUAUUUCUUGAGUUGUUCGCUCAAAGCUUGUGUAAAAGCAAGCGGCGUUUUCGGGUAGGUCGCUCGAGCUAUUCGGCAACGGAUAGCCUAGAUGAAUGAUUGCCGUUGCGCCUUUUUUGGCGCGAUACAAAAUUCGGCUUAUAGAUUUACUAGAAUG
RNAcentral lists this RNase P RNA (384 nucleotides) under Pyrinomonadaceae bacterium. RNAcentral's name for it is "RNase P RNA component class A". It matches the Rfam family "Bacterial RNase P class A". Rfam says of the family: Ribonuclease P (RNase P) is a ubiquitous endoribonuclease, found in archaea, bacteria and eukarya as well as chloroplasts and mitochondria. Its best characterised activity is the generation of mature 5'-ends of tRNAs by cleaving the 5'-leader elements of precursor-tRNAs. The record is from RNAcentral. Lineage: Bacteria; Pseudomonadati; Acidobacteriota; Blastocatellia; Blastocatellales; Pyrinomonadaceae.